AGCGAACGCUGGCGGCAGGCCUAAUACAUGCAAGUCGAGCGCCCCUUCGGGGGAGCGGCGGACGGGUGAGUAACGCGUGGGAAUGUGCCCUUUGGUACGGAACAGCUGAGGGAAACUUCAGCUAAUACCGUAUGUGCCCUUCGGGGGAAAGAUUUAUUGCCAUUGGAGCAGCCCGCGUUGGAUUAGGUAGUUGGUGGGGUAAAGGCCCACCAAGCCGACGAUCCAUAGCUGGUCUAAGAGGAUGAUCAGCCACACUGGGACUGAGACACGGCCCAGACUCCUACGGGAGGCAGCGGUAGGGAAUCUUGCGCAAUGGGCGAAAGCCUGACGCAGCCCAUGCCGCGUGAAUGAUGAAGGUCUUA
RNAcentral lists this ribosomal RNA (362 nucleotides) under uncultured bacterium. Its description in RNAcentral is "bacterial SSU rRNA". It matches the Rfam family "Bacterial small subunit ribosomal RNA", at positions 29 to 419 of the family's 1533-position model. The record is from RNAcentral.